RNAcentral lists this ribosomal RNA (504 nucleotides) under uncultured bacterium. RNAcentral describes it as "partial 16S ribosomal RNA". It matches the Rfam family "Bacterial small subunit ribosomal RNA", at positions 28 to 507 of the family's 1533-position model. The record is from RNAcentral.
GACGAACGCUGGCGGCGUGCCUAAUACAUGCAAGUCGAACGCACAGUUAUACCGUAGCUUUCUACACCAUAGACUGUGAGUUGCGAACGGGUGAGUAACGCGUAGGUAACCUGCCUGGUAGCGGGGGAUAACUAUUGGAAACGAUAGCUAAUACCGCAUAAUAUUAAUUAUUGCAUGAUAAUUAAUUGAAAGGUGCAAUUGUACCACUACCAGAUGGACCUGCGUUGUAGUAGUUAGGAGGGGAGGUAACGGCUCACCUAGGCGACGAUACAUAGCCGACCUGAGAGGGUGGACGGCCACACUGGGACUGAGACACGGCCCAGACUCCUACGGGAGGCAGCAGGAGGGAAUCUUCGGCAAUGGACGAAAGGCUGACCGAGCAACGCCGCGUGGGUGAAGAAGGGUCUCGGAUCGGAAAGCUCUGUUGUAAGAGAAGAACGGGUGUGAGAGUGGAAAGUUCACACUGUGACGGUAGCUUAACAGAAAGGGACGGCUAACUACGUG